Molecule: ribosomal RNA, 1422 nt
Filed under: metagenome
Description: bacterial LSU rRNA
Rfam family: Bacterial large subunit ribosomal RNA
Source: RNAcentral
CUGUGUCUUAGGUAAAUCCGGGAUGCUAAGGCUGAGAACUGAUGACGAGUGUUCCUCGGAACAUGAAGUGCUUGAUGCCAUGCUUCCAAGAAAAGCCUCUAAGCUUCAGGUAAAAAGAGACCGUACUCCAAACCGACACAGGUGAUCAGGUAGAGAAUACCAAGGCGCUUGAGAGAACUCGGGUGAAGGAACUAGGCAAAAUGGCACCGUAACUUCGGGAGAAGGUGCACCGCUUUUGGUGAUGGGAUUUACUCCCUAAGCUGAGGGCGGUCGAAGAUACCAGGCCCCUGCAACUGUUUAUUAAAAACACAGCACUCUGCAAACACGUAAGUGGACGUAUAGGGUGUGACGCCUGCCCGGUGCCGGAAGGUUAAUUGAUGGGGUUAGCGCAAGCGAAGCUCUUGAUCGAAGCCCCGGUAAACGGCGGCCGUAACUAUAACGGUCCUAAGGUAGCGAAAUUCCUUGUCGGGUAAGUUCCGACCUGCACGAAUGGCGUAAUGAUGGGGGCGCUGUCUCCACCCGAGACUCAGUGAAAUUGAAAUCGCGGUUAAGAUGCCGUGUACCCGCGGCUAGACGGAAAGACCCCGUGAACCUUUACUAUAGCUUUGCACUGAACUUUGAACCUAUCUGUGGAGGAUAGGUGGGAGGCUUUGAAGUCGAGACGCUAGUUUCGAUGGAGCCGUCCUUGAAAUACCACCCUGGUAUGUUUGAGGUUCUAACGUCGGCCCCUUAUCGGGGUUACGGACAGUGUAUGGUGGGUAGUUUGACUGGGGCGGUCUCCUCCCAAAGAGUAACGGAGGAGCACGAAGGUGUGCUAAUCAUGGUCGGAAAUCAUGAGGUUAGUGUAAAGGCAAAAGCACGCUUGACUGCGAGACAGACAUGUCGAGCAGGUACGAAAGUAGGUCUUAGUGAUCCGGUGGUUCUGUAUGGAAGGGCCAUCGCUCAACGGAUAAAAGGUGCUCCGGGGAUAACAGGCUGAUACCGCCCAAGAGUUCACAUCGACGGCGGUGUUUGGCACCUCGAUGUCGGCUCAUCACAUCCUGGGGCUGAAGCCGGUCCCAAGGGUAUGGCUGUUCGCCAUUUAAAGUGGUACGCGAGCUGGGUUUAGAACGUCGUGAGACAGUUCGGUCCCUAUCUGCCGUGGGCGUUGGAGAUUUGAGAAGAGUUGUUCCUAGUACGAGAGGACCGGAAUGAACGAACCUCUGGUGUUCGGGUUGUCAUGCCAAUGGCAUUGCCCGGUAGCUACGUUCGGACGGGAUAACCGCUGAAAGCAUCUAAGCGGGAAGCCUCCUUCAAGAUGAGAUCUCCCUGGGACUUUAAGUCCCCUAAAGAGCCGUUGAAGACUACGACGUUGAUAGGUUGGGUGUGGAAGCGCAGCGAUGCGUUGAGCUAACCAAUACUAAUUGCUCGUGCGGCUUGACC